Molecule: transfer RNA, 76 nt
Filed under: candidate division WWE3 bacterium CG08_land_8_20_14_0_20_40_13
Lineage: Bacteria; candidate division WWE3
Also listed under: 2 other names
Description: tRNA-Arg
Rfam family: tRNA
About the family: Transfer RNA (tRNA) molecules are approximately 80 nucleotides in length. Their secondary structure includes four short double-helical elements and three loops (D, anti-codon, and T loops).
Source: RNAcentral
GCCCCCAUAGCUUAAUGGAUAGAGCAUUGCGUUGCGGACGCAAAGGUUAGAGGUUCGAGUCCUCUUGGGGGCACCA